This 426-nucleotide ribosomal RNA is filed under the name uncultured bacterium. Its description in RNAcentral is "bacterial SSU rRNA". It matches the Rfam family "Bacterial small subunit ribosomal RNA", at positions 354 to 796 of the family's 1533-position model. The record is from RNAcentral.
GUGAGGAAUUUUCCGCAAUGGGCGAAAGCCUGACGGAGCAAUGCCGCGUGAAGGAUGAAGGCCUAUGGGUUGUAAACUUCUUUUCUCAGAAAAGAAUUAUGACGGUAUCUGAGGAAUAAGCAUCGGCUAACUCUGUGCCAGCAGCCGCGGUAAGACAGAGGAUGCAAGCGUUAUCCGGAAUGAUUGGGCGUAAAGCGUCUGUAGGUUGUUUAAAAAGUAUUCUGUCAAAGAUUAGGGCUUAACCCUAGAUAGGCAGAAUAAACUUUUAAGCUAGAGUUUGGUAGAGGCAGAGGGAAUUCCCGGUGGAGCGGUGAAAUGCGUAGAUAUCGGGAGGAACACCAAAGGCGAAAGCACUCUGCUGGGCCAAUACUAACACUGAGAGACGAAAGCGAGGGGAGCAAAUGGGAUUAGAAACCCUGGUAGUCC